Molecule: long non-coding RNA, 305 nt
Filed under: Taeniopygia guttata (zebra finch)
Lineage: Eukaryota; Metazoa; Chordata; Aves; Passeriformes; Estrildidae
Description: lncRNA (ENSTGUG00000022315.1)
Source: RNAcentral
AGGCAUUCCUCUCAGAACUCACCAUCACAGUCACGUUGGCUUUGCACUGGGUUGAUGUGUGCAAGAAAGUGCGUGCGGAAGGAGGAAGCGUGGUUCCUGCCUGCAGUACUUGGCUUCCAGGGUGUUGGAGCCAUCCAUCCAAUACAGAGCAGAUGAGCUGCUUGCCAGUUUGCAGAGAACAUGGCUUUAAGGCGGUGUGGAAAACGCUUCUUUCCUGGUUGCUGAGACUUUGUGGUGAGUGGGACUCUCAUCCCCAGAGGCGUUUGUGAACUGUGUUUACAGGUAGGCUGACAGGACACACAGCA